AUGCCAUGGUGUAGACACUCCCUCUGAAGAUCUUUGUACCCUUCCCAUGCAUCAUAGAGAGAUUCAUUGUCUUUAUGUCUAAAGGUGUUGAGUUUAACUCUAAGCCU
This is a small nucleolar RNA of Hevea brasiliensis (rubber tree), 107 nucleotides long. NCBI's taxonomy places the organism in Eukaryota, Viridiplantae, Streptophyta, Magnoliopsida, Malpighiales, Euphorbiaceae. The record is from RefSeq and is a predicted model, not a curated record.